GCCGGGCGCGGUGGCGCGCGCCUGUAGUCCCAGCUACUCGGGAGGCUGAGGCAGGAGGAUCGCUUGAGCCCAGGAGUUCUGGGCUGUAGUGCGCUAUGCCGAUCGGGUGUCCGCACUAAGUUCGGCAUCAAUAUGGUGACCUCCCGGGAGCGGGGGACCACCAGGUUGCCUAAGGAGGGGUGAACCGGCCCAGGUCGGAAACGGAGCAGGUCAAAACUCCCGUGCUGAUCAAAAUAUGCCUUCUGAGGGCACCUGGGUGGCUCAGUCAUUGAGCGUCUGCCUUCC
This 285-nucleotide signal recognition particle RNA is filed under the name Zalophus californianus (California sea lion). RNAcentral's name for it is "Metazoan signal recognition particle RNA (ENSZCAG00015001259.1)". It matches the Rfam family "Metazoan signal recognition particle RNA". From Rfam's summary of the family: The signal recognition particle (SRP) is a universally conserved ribonucleoprotein. It is involved in the co-translational targeting of proteins to membranes. The record is from RNAcentral. Lineage: Eukaryota; Metazoa; Chordata; Mammalia; Carnivora; Otariidae.